RNAcentral lists this unclassified non-coding RNA (284 nucleotides) under Hevea brasiliensis (rubber tree). Lineage: Eukaryota; Viridiplantae; Streptophyta; Magnoliopsida; Malpighiales; Euphorbiaceae. The record is from RNAcentral.
CUGAUGAGUGAUCAAACUCGUACACAUACAGGCAUUAGAGGGACCAGAGGAUAUGUUGCACCAGAAUGGUUCAGGAACAUGCCAAUUACAGCAAAAGUAGAUGUUUAUAGUUAUGGAGUGAUGUUAUUAGAGAUCAUUUGUUGCAGAAGGGGCCUUGAAAUGGAAAACGAGAAUGAAGAGGAGAUCAUACUAGCUGACUGGGCAUAUGACUGCUACAAAGAAAAAAUAUUAGAUAAACUAGUGGAGGAUGAUGAGGAGGCAAGAAAUGACAUAAAAAGGGUAGA